This 391-nucleotide ribosomal RNA is filed under the name Desmodesmus sp. RNAcentral's name for it is "SSU rRNA". It matches the Rfam family "Eukaryotic small subunit ribosomal RNA", at positions 627 to 1026 of the family's 1831-position model. Lineage: Eukaryota; Viridiplantae; Chlorophyta; Chlorophyceae; Sphaeropleales; Scenedesmaceae. The record is from RNAcentral.
CUCGUAGUUGGAUUUCGGGUGGGUCUCAGCGGUCCGCCUAUGGUGAGUACUGCUGUGGCCUUCCUUACUGUCGGGGACCUGCUUCUGGGCUUCAUUGUCCGGGACAGGGAUUCGGCAUGGUUACUUUGAGUAAAUUAGAGUGUUCAAAGCAGGCUUACGCCGUGAAUACUUUAGCAUGGAAUAACAUGAUAGGACUCUGCCCUAUUCUGUUGGCCUGUAGGAGUGGAGUAAUGAUUAAGAGGAACAGUCGGGGGCAUUCGUAUUUCAUUGUCAGAGGUGAAAUUCUUGGAUUUAUGAAAGACGAACUACUGCGAAAGCAUUUGCCAAGGAUGUUUUCAUUAAUCAAGAACGAAAGUUGGGGGCUCGAAGACGAUUAGAUACNNCGUAGUCA